AUGGGAUGGAGUUGAUGUUUAUCAUAGCCACCAACUGUUGGCACAGCAAAGAGGGUCUUGCCAUGUAGCCUUAACUUGGGACCGUUCCUGGCUGAGCCCUUGUCAAUAGUAAGCACAGCAAAAGAGAACUAGAAGCUAAUUCCUUAUCUUCUUCUUUUCACCACAAAAUAUAGUGGGCAUUUCCCUUCUAGUCUUGUCCUCCACAUGAGCCAGCUCCUGUGAGAACUUUAGCCUUGCAUAUGGGGUUCAGCUGGGUUCUUCACCAAGACAGGCACCUGCUGCCAUUUCUCCUCGGUGAAAUUCACAGAUUUAUACAGGAGAAAGAUGGGUGAUCACCGCAUGAACAAAUGCCCCUCUCUUGUAUAUCACUGGCUUCCAGUUAUCUUCAGCAUGAAAUCCCAACUUCUUAACAGUCAUGGACACAAGAUGUCAGCUCUGCCCAUCUCUUUCUACUUCUUCUCCCCAACUCUAUGCAUUUACUUUCUUCGAUCUCACUGGCCUUUCUACGCCCUUGGACCUUUUCAUCUGAUGAAGAUCAAAUGGUCAUAAAGGCCUUCAACAGAGCUGCAAAGAUGUAACUAGGCAGCCAAGCCAGUACUGGCCAUCAAUUCUGAUAAGUAUAUUGACUGGUGUCUGGUCACCUACAGAGAUACUUCUGUCCCCAAGAGUUUGGGACAUAAACUUAUCAGAAAUCCACUAUGAUGACCUACAAAUUUACUCAUGAGACUUAAAUCUGAUCAUGUCAUCACUUGGUGUAAUGAAACACUAUAAAAAACAUAAUUAAAUAUGAGUGGGAGCCAGGCCGUUUCCUUAGCCCUCAGGAUGAAUACUUUGUGAAGACAUUCUAAAUGUCAACGA
This 858-nucleotide long non-coding RNA is filed under the name Mus caroli (Ryukyu mouse). RNAcentral describes it as "lncRNA (MGP_CAROLIEiJ_G0004034.1)". Lineage: Eukaryota; Metazoa; Chordata; Mammalia; Rodentia; Muridae. The record is from RNAcentral.